GCCAACAAUCUAGCCCAAUAAUAAACUAAUAACAUCACUAAACUUCAACAAACUAACUAAACCAUUCUUGCAACCUAGUAAAGGAGAUUGAAAUUUUUUUAGGAGCUAUAUUUUAGUACCGUGAGGGAAAGAUGAAAUAAAAAUGAAACAAAUAUUAAGCACAAAAAAAUAGAGGCCUACUCUCGUACCUUUUGCAUCAUGGUUUAACUAGUCUAAUCAAGCAAAAAGACCUAAAGUUUGACCCCCCGAAACUAAGUGAGCUACUUCAAGGCAGCUUUUUGAGCCAACCCGUCUCUGUUGCAAAAGAGUGGGAAGACCUUCUAGUAGGGGUGACAGACCUACCGAACUUAGUGAUAGCUGGUUGCUUGAGAAAAGGAUCUUAGUCCAGCCUAAAAUUAUUUAAAUUUUUAUAAAUGCCAAUAUAAUUUUAGAGUAAUUCUAGCAGGGUACAGCCCGCUAGAAACAGGAUACAACCUAGACCUGAGGGUAACUAUUACUGUUAAGCGAUUAAGUAGGCCUAAAAGCAGCCACCUUUAAAACAGCGUCACAGAUUAAUCGCACCAUCAGUGUUAAUCCAUAAAACCUUACCGAACCCCACUUCUGUACCAAGCAAUUCUAUAUAACUAUAGAACUUUUCAUGUUAAAACUAGUAACAAGAAGACACUACUUCUCUUUAAUGUAAACUUACAUCAGAUAGGACUGACCACUGAUAAUUACACCUAAUGAACAUACAGUAGAAACACUACAAGAAAACCCUACUUUACCCUAUGUUAACCUAACACAAGAACAUUACAAGAAAGAUUAAAAGAAAAAGAAGGAACUCGGCAAAUUUUAACCCCGCCUGUUUACCAAAAACAUCGCCUCUUGAAUAACUAUAAGAGGUCCAGCCUGCCCAGUGACUCUGUUCAACGGCCGCGGUAUCCUAACCGUGCGAAGGUAGCGUAAUCACUUGUUCUUUAAAUGAGGACUAGUAUGAAUGGCACCACGAAGGUUAUACUGUCUCCUUUCUCUAAUCAGUGAAACUAAUCUUCCCGUGAAGAAGCGGGGAUAACUAUAUAAGACGAGAAGACCCUAUGGAGCUUUAAACACAUGUAACAACUGCCUCAGCCCCCUAGCAAUUUCAGAAAGCAAAUCAAUAUUUAGGCACUUUGAUUACAAGUUUUAGGUUGGGGUGACCGCGGAGAAAAAAUCAACCUCCACAAUGAAUGGGGACUCCCCCCUAAACCAUGGACUACAACCCUAAGAAUCAACAAAUUGACAUCUAUUGACCCAAUAAAUUUGAUCAACGAACCAAGUUACCCUAGGGAUAACAGCGCAAUCCACUUUGAGAGCCCUAUCGACAAGUGGGUUUACGACCUCGAUGUUGGAUCAGGGU
RNAcentral lists this ribosomal RNA (1375 nucleotides) under Leptodactylus flavopictus (yellow painted frog). Its description in RNAcentral is "partial 16S ribosomal RNA". It matches the Rfam family "Bacterial large subunit ribosomal RNA", at positions 130 to 2543 of the family's 2925-position model. Lineage: Eukaryota; Metazoa; Chordata; Amphibia; Anura; Leptodactylidae. The record is from RNAcentral.